This 439-nucleotide ribosomal RNA is filed under the name uncultured bacterium. Its description in RNAcentral is "partial 16S ribosomal RNA". It matches the Rfam family "Bacterial small subunit ribosomal RNA", at positions 339 to 795 of the family's 1533-position model. The record is from RNAcentral.
CUACGGGGGGCACCAGUGAGGAAUAUUGCACAAUGGGGGGAACCCUGAUGCAGCAACGCCGCGUGGAGGAUGACGCAUUUCGGUGUGGAAAAGAGGGUUAUAUGUCAAGAAAAUGACGGUAGCAUAUGAAUAAGCACCGGCUAACUCCGUGCCAGCAGCCGCGGUAAUACGGAGGGUGCAAGCGUUACUCGGAAUCACUGGGCGUAAAGGACGCGUAGGCGGGUUGGAAAGUCAGGUGUGAAAUCCUACAGCUUAACUGUAGAACUGCACUUGAAACUUCUAAUCUAGAGUAUGGGAGGGGGAGAUGGAAUUAGUGGUGUAGGGGUAAAAUCCGUAGAUAUCACUAGGAAUACCUAAAGCGAAGGCGAUCUCCUGGAACAUUACUGACGCUAAGGCGUGAAAGCGUGGGGAGCAAACAGGAUUAGAUACCCGUGUAGUC